UACGUAGGGUGCAAGCGUUAAUCGGAAUUACUGGGCGUAAAGCGUGCGCAGGCGGUUGUGUAAGUCUGACGUGAAAUCCUCGGGCUUAACCUGGGAAUGGCGUUGGAGACUGCACGGCUAGAGUGUGUCAGAGGGAGGUAGAAUUCCACGUGUAGCAGUGAAAUGCGUAGAUAUGUGGAGGAAUACCGAUGGCGAAGGCAGCCUCCUGGGAUAACACUGACGCUCAUGCACGAAAGCGUGGGGAGCAAACAGG
Molecule: ribosomal RNA, 253 nt
Filed under: uncultured bacterium
Lineage: Bacteria
Description: partial 16S ribosomal RNA
Rfam family: Bacterial small subunit ribosomal RNA
Source: RNAcentral